RNAcentral lists this unclassified non-coding RNA (220 nucleotides) under uncultured fungus. RNAcentral describes it as "sequence contains ITS1". Lineage: Eukaryota; Fungi. The record is from RNAcentral.
GACUGCGGAGGAUCAUUAUCGAAUAAACUUGAUCAGGUUGUUGCUGGCCUUUUCGAAGGCAUGUGCACGCUUGUCAUCUUUAUUUCUCCAACUGUGCACAUGUUGUAGACCAUGGAUGUCGUUGCUUAAUAGCAGAUUUGAGAAGUGCUUUAGCUUUCUCUUAUGAGGUCUAUGUUAUCCAUCUUUUACACACUGUUUUAGAAUGUUUAUUAUGGAAAUG